RNAcentral lists this ribosomal RNA (460 nucleotides) under uncultured bacterium. RNAcentral describes it as "partial 16S ribosomal RNA". It matches the Rfam family "Bacterial small subunit ribosomal RNA", at positions 338 to 795 of the family's 1533-position model. The record is from RNAcentral.
CCUACGGGUGGCAGCAGUGAGGAAUAUUGGUCAAUGGGCGUAAGCCUGAACCAGCAAAGUCGCGUGAGGGAUGAAGGUUCUAUGGAUCGUAAACCUCUUUUAUAAGGGAAUAAAGUGUGGGACGUGUCCUAUUUUGUAUGUACCUUAUGAAUAAGGAUCGGCUAACUCCGUGCCAGCAGCCGCGGUAAUACGGAGGAUCCGAGCGUUAUCCGGAUUUACUGGGUUUAAAGGGUGCGUAGGCGGCCUUUUAAGUCAGCGGUGAAAGUCUGUGGCUCAACCAUAGAAUUGCCGUUGAAACUGGUGUGCUUGAGUAUGGUUGAGGCAGGCGGAAUGCGUGGGGUAGCGGUGAAAUGCUUAGAUAUAACGCAGAACCCCGAUUGCGAAGGCAGCCGGCCAAGCCAUGACUGACGCUGAGGCGCGAAAGCGUGGGGAGCAAACAGGAUUAGAUACCCUUGUAGUC